Molecule: long non-coding RNA, 738 nt
Filed under: Lactuca sativa (garden lettuce)
Lineage: Eukaryota; Viridiplantae; Streptophyta; Magnoliopsida; Asterales; Asteraceae
Description: long non-coding RNA (LSAT_LNC006383)
Source: RNAcentral
CAUCUUGGACCGCUGUUUCCAGCGCAAAUCAACCAUCAAAAAGGGUUUGUUUUUUAAGAAGUAAGCACCAUGUCAACUGGUUCAGAAAUUGGAAGACGUGGUGGAGGCACAGCUGACAUACCUUAAAUCGACAUGCAUGAAGUCUUUUGCUAACGAUCAGAAGCAUAUGAUAUAAGCGAUGGGCGGCGGCCUGCGUCACUAAAGCAUCAACCAGGUGACUUCUAGUUAGAGAUGGAAAUAACAAAUCCAAUUAGGUCUUUGACAUAUAUGCAGAUGAACAACUUUGAUUUAAGGCUUCACAAUCGAUUAAUACCCCUCAUGUGAACACCGGCCAAUUAAUUGGACCAAAAAAUAAGUUGCUUGCUUCAAUUGGAGCAUAUAUUCAGCAACAUGCAAAGACUACACAUUCAGCUGACCAUAUACUCCGGGAGGAAGGUGAAGAGGCGGUGGGGAAAUCUAAGGCAGUUGCUUCUCAAGAAGAAAGAAAGAGGAGGAAAAGAAAGACUACCAAAAAAUACACAAGAAAAGAAAGUGACUCACCUUAAGAAAGGUUAAUUGAGGCGGCAAACAACUUUGGGAGAAACGCCGGCAGAAAAGCAAUUACGUAAACCGACCUUUGAAGUCCAUUGCGUCAGCCAGAUGCAAGGAUGACCGGAAACAAGCAGGCAGAUUGGUGAUGCAGGCAGCCAAGCAGCUAAUGGAAGGAUGGUGCAGAACAUAGCGUAAGAUAAAAUUGGC